This 111-nucleotide ribosomal RNA is filed under the name Caerostris extrusa. The record is from RNAcentral. Lineage: Eukaryota; Metazoa; Arthropoda; Arachnida; Araneae; Araneidae.
UCGGCCAUACCAUACUGGAUAUACCGAUUCUCGUUAGAUCACCGAAGUCAAGCAUCAUUGGGCGCGGUCAGUACUUGGCUGGGUGACCACCUGGGAACACCGCGUGCCGUU